UUAUGUUACAUUUCCUAUAAUGGUGAAAGAUAAUAAUUUAUUUAUGAAUUAUUGCCAAAUGAGUAAAACACAAUUUGAAGAGUUACUUAUACUAAUUGCUCCAAAAAUUCAAAAGAAUCCAGUUUGUCGAGAACUAAUUUCAUCAAAAGAACGUUUGUUGUUAACACUACUGAGUAAAAAACGUUUUAAAAAAUUAUCUUAAUAAGUAUUAAGAAGUGAGAUUAAAAAAAUAAGAGUGAGAUUAAAAAAAUAAGAGUGAUAUGUUUGUUUAUAUUUAGCAUGUGGUGAUUCAAUGAUAGCAAUGAAGUACCAAUAUUAUAUUGCACAAUCAACAAUAUCAAAUAUUAUUGCAGAAACUUGCAAUGUAUUAUGGAAUACUUUAAUGCCAAUUGUAUUGAAAGUACUUACAUAUGAAAACUGGAAACAUAUUGCUGCUAAUUUUGAAAUAAAAUGUAACUUUCCACAUUGUUUGGGUGCUGUGGAUGGUAAAUGUCAUUGUGCAGGCACCACCAAAUUCUGGUUCUACGUACUAUAAUUAUAAAAACUUUCACAGUAUAGUGUUAAUGGCUAUUUGUGAUAGUAACUACAAAUUUAUUUUGGUCGAUAUUGGUGCGGAAGGUCGACAAAGUGACGGAGGUAUCUGAUCGAGAUCUGUUAUGGGUCAAUCAUUUUUAAGAGGUGAUGUAGAUAUACAACUUCCAAAUCGUGUUGCGGAGGGAUCUAUUCUUCCAUAUGUUUUUGUGGCAGAUGAAGCUUUUCAGCUUACAAAGUUUAUGAUGCGGCCAUUCUCUGGAAGAGGAGGUUUAACAAGAGAAAAACAAAUUUAUAAUUAUAGACACAGUAGAAUACGUCGUAUAGUAGAAUGUACUAUUGGAAUUCUCAUUUCCAAAUGAAGAAUUUAUAAACGACGAUUAAUACUUCAAUUGAAACAGCAGAAAAUAUAGUGAAAGCAAUUGUUUUACAUAAUUUAUUUGCAUAAGUAUAGUGAAAACAAUUGUUGCAUAAUUUUCUACGCGAAAAUGAUUGUUCAUUUUGUACCUGUACUACUGAUACAAAUAAAAAUGGAACAGUAUGUUGUGAGAUUACAGCGGCAGCACUCAGAGAUAUAAAUAAUAUUGGUAUAAAUACAAAUAUAUGGGAAGCAUGUAAAAUACGUAAUACUUUUAUGAAUUAUUUUAAUAAUGAAGGUUUAAUUCCAUGGCAAGAAAUUAUGUUGAACUGUUAAUAUUUUUUGCAUAAAAAGUUUUUGCAGUUGGUUAGUAACAACAGUAAUAUAU
Molecule: long non-coding RNA, 1277 nt
Organism: Odontomachus brunneus
Lineage: Eukaryota; Metazoa; Arthropoda; Insecta; Hymenoptera; Formicidae
Exons: 3
Source: RefSeq, a predicted model, not a curated record